This 207-nucleotide ribosomal RNA is filed under the name uncultured bacterium. RNAcentral's name for it is "partial 16S ribosomal RNA". It matches the Rfam family "Bacterial small subunit ribosomal RNA", at positions 568 to 774 of the family's 1533-position model. The record is from RNAcentral.
CACGUAGGCGGCUCUUUAAGUCGGGGGUGAAAUCCUGGAGCUCAACUCCAGAACUGCCUUCGAUACUGUAGAGCUUGAGUUCGGGAGAGGUGAGUGGAACUGCGAGUGUAGAGGUGAAAUUCGUAGAUAUUCGCAAGAACACCAGUGGCGAAGGCGGCUCACUGGCCCGAUACUGACGCUGAGGUGCGAAAGCGUGGGGAGCAAACA